RNAcentral lists this long non-coding RNA (297 nucleotides) under Nicotiana benthamiana. RNAcentral describes it as "long non-coding RNA (NBEN_LNC029401)". Lineage: Eukaryota; Viridiplantae; Streptophyta; Magnoliopsida; Solanales; Solanaceae. The record is from RNAcentral.
UGAGGUCGGAUGUCGUCUAUGGAGGCUAUCAGAGUUUCAGCGUCAGGUGGUAUCUCUAUUAUUUUUGUUACAUCAGCUAUGUGUGAUUCUAUUCUCUGCUUUACAUACCAGUACAUUUUUAUUCGUACUGAUAUCACGUUGCCUGGGGACACUGUAUUUUGUUCGUGCGUGUAGGUCCAUGUAGGGACUCUGAUCGACCCCUCUGCUAGGAUUUCGAGGUUCAGCUGUGAGUUGGUAAGCUCCAUCUCUUCCUGGAGCUUUCAUAGGGUGGUUACUUUUGUUGUACAGUUUGGGUAU